GUUGCAGCUCAGUGGUAGAGCUCUUUCCUAGCAUGUGUGAGGCACUGGGUUCGAUCCUCAGCAUUACA
This 68-nucleotide transfer RNA is filed under the name Marmota monax (woodchuck). RNAcentral describes it as "tRNA.Ala". Lineage: Eukaryota; Metazoa; Chordata; Mammalia; Rodentia; Sciuridae. The record is from RNAcentral.